CCUACGGGCGGCAGCAGUGAGGAAUAUUGGUCAAUGGACGAGAGUCUGAACCAGCCAAGUAGCGUGAAGGAUGACUGACCUAUGGGUUGUAAACUUCUUUUAUAUAGGAAUAAAAUGAGGCACGUGUGCCUUUUUGUAUGUACUAUAUGAAUAAGCAUCGGCUAACUCCGUGCCAGCAGCCGCGGUAAUACGGAGGAUCCGAGCGUUAUCCGGAUUUAUUGGGUUUAAAGGGAGCGUAGAUGGGUUGUUAAGUCAGUUGUGAAAGUUUGUGGCUCAACCGUAAAAUUGCCGUUGAUACUGGCAGUCUUGAGUACAGUUGAGGUAGGCGGAAUGCGUGGUGUAGCGGUGAAAUGCUUAGAUAUCACGAAGAACCCCGAUUGCGAAGGCAGCUUACUAAACUGUAACUGACACUGAUGCUCGAAAGUGUGGGUAUCAAACAGGAUUAGAUACCCUUGUAGUC
RNAcentral lists this ribosomal RNA (460 nucleotides) under uncultured bacterium. RNAcentral describes it as "partial 16S ribosomal RNA". It matches the Rfam family "Bacterial small subunit ribosomal RNA", at positions 338 to 795 of the family's 1533-position model. The record is from RNAcentral.